RNAcentral lists this non-coding RNA (170 nucleotides) under uncultured Bacteroides sp. Lineage: Bacteria; Pseudomonadati; Bacteroidota; Bacteroidia; Bacteroidales; Bacteroidaceae. The record is from RNAcentral.
CGGUCCGUCCGGGCCGUCGGAUGAAAAGGGAAUCGGGUGCAAAUCCCGGACAGUCCCGCUGCUGUGAGCUUCCGCAAAAGGGUGUGUCAAAACACUUGCAGCCACUGUCUUUCCGAAAGGAGGGACGGGAAGGCGACAUACCUUGGGAGCGAGUCAGAAGACCUGCAAAA